This 1878-nucleotide ribosomal RNA is filed under the name Drosophila miranda. RNAcentral's name for it is "SSU rRNA". It matches the Rfam family "Eukaryotic small subunit ribosomal RNA". The record is from RNAcentral. Lineage: Eukaryota; Metazoa; Arthropoda; Insecta; Diptera; Drosophilidae.
UCUGGUUGAUCCUGCCAGUAGUUAUAUGCUUGUCUCAAAGAUUAAGCCAUGUAUGUCUAAGUACACACGAAUUAAAAGUGAAACCGCAAAAGGCUCAUUAUAUCAGUUAUGGUUCCCUAGAUCGUUAACAGUUACUUGGAUAACUGUGGUAAUUCUAGAGCUAAUACAUGCAAUUAAAACACGGACCUUAUGGGACGUGUGCUUUUAUUAGGCUAAAACCAAGCGAUCGUAAGAUCGUUACAUUGGUUGAACUCUAGAUAACAUGCAGAUCGUAUGGUCUUGUACCGACGACAGAUCUUUCAAAUGUCUGCCCUAUCAACUUUUGAUGGUAGUAUCUAGGACUACCAUGGUUGCAACAGGUAACGGGGAAUCAGGGUUCGAUUACGGAGAGGGAGCCUGAGAAACGGCUACCACAUCUAAGGAAGACAGCAGACGCGUAAAUUACCCACUCCCAGAUCGGGGAGGUAGUGACGAUAUAACAAUAUAGGACUCAUAUCCGAAGCCCUGUAAUUGGAAUGAGUACACUUUUAAUCCUUUAACAAGGACCAAUUGGAGGGCAAGUCUGGUGCCAGCAGCCGCGGUAAUUCCAGCUCCAAUAGCGUAUAUUAAAGUUGUUGCGGUUAAAACGUUCGUAGUUGAACUUGUGCUUCAUACGGGUGGUAUACCUUACAAUUGUAGUUGGUACUAUACCUUUAUGUAUGUAAGCGUAUUACCGGUGGAGUUCUUAUGUAUAAUUAAGUACUUGUAUUUUUUUAUAUAUUCCUCCUAUUUAAAAACCUGCAUUAGUGCUCUUCAUCGAGUGUUAUUGUGGGCCGGUACAAUUACUUUGAACAAAUUAGAGUGCUUGAAGCAGGCUCUUCUGCUCUCAUUGGUUUUCAGAUCAAGAGGUAAUGAUUAAUAGAAGCAGUUUGGGGGCAUUAGUAUUACGACGCGAGAGGUGAAAUUCUUGGACCGUCGUAAGACUAACUUAAGCGAAAACAUUUGCCAAAGAUGUUUUCAUUAAUCAAGAACGAAAGUUAGAGGUUCGAAGGCGAUCAGAUACCGCCCUAGUUCUAACCAUAAACGAUGCCAGCUAGCAAUUGGGUGUAGCUACUUUUAUGGCUCUCUCAGUCGCUUCCCGGGAAACCAAAGCUUUUGGGCUCCGGGGGAAGUAUGGUUGCAAAUUUGACUCAAUACGGGAAAACUUACCAGGUCCGAACAUAAGUGUGAAAGACAGAUUGAUAGCUCUUUCUCGAAUCUAUGGGUGGUGGUGCAUGGCCGUUCUUAGUUCGUAGAGUGAUUUGUCUGGUUAAUUCCGAUAACGAACGAGACUCAAAUAUAUUAAAUAGAUAUCUUCAGGAUUAUGGUGUUGAAGCUUAUAUAGCCUUCAUUCAUGGUGGCAGUAAAAUGUUUAUUGUGCUUCAAUGUGUUUAUAUAAGUGGAGCCGUACCUGUUGGAUUGUCCUAUUGUAAGAACAAUAGCUUCUUAAAUGGACAAAUUGCGUCUAGCAAUAAUGAGAUUGAGCAAUAACAGGUCUGUGAUGCCCUUAGAUGUCCUGGGCUGCACGCGCGCUACAAUGAAAGUAUCAACGUGUAUUUCCUAGACCGAGAGGUCCGGGUAAACCGCUGAACCACUUUCAUGCUUGGGAUUGUGAACUGAAACUGUUCACAUGAACUUGGAAUUCCCAAUAAGUGUGAGUCAUUAACUCGCUUUGAUUACGUCCCUGCCGUUUGUACACACCGCCCGUCGCUACUACCGAUUGAAUUAUUUAGUGAGGUCUCCGGACGUGAUCACUGUGACGCCUUGCGUGUUAUUGUUGUUUUGCAAAAGUUGACCGAACUUGAUUAUUUAGAGGAAGUAAAAGUCGUAACAAGGUUUCCUUAGGUGAACCUGCGGAAG